CCCUUAGAUGUUCUGGGCCGCACGCGUGCUACACUGAGUGGAUCAGCGGGUCAGGUUGCGCGAAAGUGUUUCCUAAUCUUGAAAUCCGCUCGUGAUGGGGAUUGACGGUUGCAAUUUUCCGUCAUGAACGAGGAAUACCUUGUAAGCGCGGGUCAUCAUCCCGCGCUGAAUACGUCCCUGCCCUUUGUACACACCGCCCGUCGCUCCUACCGAUUGAGUGGUCCGGUGAGGCUUUGGGAUCUGGGCAAAGAGAGCGUUUCGCUCGUUUUGCCCGGAAAACUCAGUCGAACCUUAUCAUUUAGAGGAAGGAGAAGUCGUAACA
This 322-nucleotide ribosomal RNA is filed under the name uncultured eukaryote. RNAcentral describes it as "partial 18S ribosomal RNA". It matches the Rfam family "Eukaryotic small subunit ribosomal RNA", at positions 1470 to 1796 of the family's 1831-position model. The record is from RNAcentral.